RNAcentral lists this long non-coding RNA (519 nucleotides) under Pan paniscus (pygmy chimpanzee). RNAcentral's name for it is "lncRNA (ENSPPAG00000045446.1)". Lineage: Eukaryota; Metazoa; Chordata; Mammalia; Primates; Hominidae. The record is from RNAcentral.
AAAAGAUAGAAAACAUUUCCUAGCCUCCCUUGCAGAUUGAUAUGACCAUGUUACUGUUUUUUAGGGAAAUGGAAUUGAAGACAACUACUUCUAGAAUUGGUGCAUGGAAGCUUCUCAUAGGUGAUUAGCCACACUCUUCUUCUGUCAACCUGGUGCAGAAAAGCUUGAAGACCUCGGAAAUCACAUAUUGAUGAUGGAGGAGAUACAAGAAUGAAGGACCCUGGGUUCCUGAAUCAACACUCUAAGAAGAGACUCCUUGAAAUCAAGAGCGCUCAUCUUGACAUUGCAAACGGAAAAAUUCACUUCUAUCAGGUGUCAUUAGUUCCUUGCUAGAAUUUCUUUGGUGUCCUUUCUGCAUUUCAAACUCACAAAGGUAAUCAGAAUUGAUAUUGAUGUUUAAGCUCACAGUAUAUACAGCACCAGUUUGCCUUUUUAAACUCAUGUUCAGCAUGUGAUAAAUAAGUCAAUUACUAUGUAUCUCAUGGGGAACUAGAAAUAAAGAAUGCUGCAGUCUUCCAG